This is a long non-coding RNA of Equus quagga, 783 nucleotides long. RefSeq lists it as uncharacterized. Lineage: Eukaryota; Metazoa; Chordata; Mammalia; Perissodactyla; Equidae. The transcript has 2 exons. The record is from RefSeq and is a predicted model, not a curated record.
GACGCUGCCUCAACGUGGCCUGAUGAGCGGUGCCAUGUCUGCGCCCAGGAUCCAAACCCUGGGCCGCCGCAGCGGAGUGCGCGAACUUAGCCACUCAGCCACAGAGCCGGCCCCAGAAUGUACUCUUUGAAGGUAAGAACCAAUGCCUCUCUUCUUAUGACACCAGUACUUUUUGAAGAUAAGUGUUCUUUCCCAUGACACUGGGGUCAUGCUGACCCACUGUGUAUGUACUAAUCUAUAAGAAAGUAUCUCCUUGAACCCUUGAAAGAAUGUACCCCUGUCACACUUGAUGUAUGUCUGUUUGGAAAUGGUAUAUAAUGGUGCUGAAAAAUCACUCUUCAUCACAGCACUUACGAAGGCUGCACUCCCAGGCUGCAGUCCUCAGCUUGGCUCGAAUAAAACUCCCCGCUGUAGAAUGAUUAUUGAUUAUUCGUGUCAACAGCUCGACCAUCUAGCACUUCAUCAGCAUAGUCUACAAAGAGAACACACACACUCAGCUGUAUGGACUAGGAAGUGGGUCAACAAGAGGAUACUUGGAGCAACUGCCUUGUGAUGAACUGAAGCACACAAAUCUUCUACAAAAAUGCUCUAGGGAGAAUCUUAAGAAACGCAAUGUAGUUAUGGAAAGUCAUCCACUGGAAGACAGAUGCGAGACAGAUCGCAGAACCACAGAAAAAGAAUUGGAACAAAGAGCUUCCGCUGUUGACAAUUCAAGACUAAGACUGACCAAGAUCAGGUACAAGUUCUUGAACAAAUAACUGUUCUUCUAGAAGUCUACAGCUU